Molecule: ribosomal RNA, 326 nt
Filed under: uncultured fungus
Lineage: Eukaryota; Fungi
Description: eukaryotic LSU rRNA
Rfam family: 5.8S ribosomal RNA (bases 1-71)
Source: RNAcentral
GUGAAUCAUCGAGUCUUUGAACGCACCUUGCACUCCUUGGUAUUCCGAGGAGUAUGCCUGUUUGAGUGUCUGACUUUCAUCAAUCCUCCUUUACUUUUGUAAUGGUUGGUCUUGGAUUUGGGGAUUGCUGGGCCUCGUGUCUGACUUCCCUUGAAUGCAUUAGUUGAAUUGACUUGCAACGCUAUGUGUGGUGUGAUAAUAUCUUCACUGCAUAGUUGUAAUGAAGUUUGGCUUCUAACUGUCUUUUUCAUUAGACAAUCUUUGACCAUUAGACCUCAAAUCAGGUAGGACUACCCGCUGAACUUAAGCAUAUCAAUAAGCGGAGG